GAUGAAGAACGUAGCGAAAUGCGAUAAGUAAUGUGAAUUGCAGAAUUCAGUGAAUCAUCUAAUCUUUGAACGCACCUUGCGCCCUUUGGCUAUUCCGAAGGGCAUGCCUGUUUGAGUAUCAUGAACACCUCAACCCUCAUGGUUUGCCAUGAUGGGCUUGGACUUUGGGGGUCUUGCUGGAUUGUAGUCAGCUCCCCUUAAAUGAAUCAGCUUGCCAGUGUUUGGUGGCAUCACAGGUGUGAUAAAUAUCUACGCUUGUGGUUUUACAUCAGAUAACCUUCAGUGAUGGAGGUUCACUGGAGCUCAUAAAGGUGUCUCUCCUCUGUGAGGACAGCUCUUUGAAUGUUUGAUCUCAAAUCAGGCAGGACUACCCGCUGAACUUAAGCAUAUCAAUAAGCGGAGGA
This 404-nucleotide unclassified non-coding RNA is filed under the name soil metagenome. RNAcentral's name for it is "partial contains 5.8S ribosomal RNA, internal transcribed spacer 2, and large subunit ribosomal RNA". The stretch from base 1 to 121 matches the Rfam family "5.8S ribosomal RNA", at positions 35 to 154 of the family's 154-position model. The record is from RNAcentral.